This 69-nucleotide antisense RNA is filed under the name Streptomyces rubellomurinus subsp. indigoferus. RNAcentral describes it as "ASpks sRNA". It matches the Rfam family "ASpks TB sRNA". Lineage: Bacteria; Bacillati; Actinomycetota; Actinomycetes; Kitasatosporales; Streptomycetaceae. The record is from RNAcentral.
CUUCACCGACCCCAGCCACAGCGGAAGUUCACGGCCCUGCCCGUACGUCGCCAGCAGCGCCUGCGCCUC